UUAACCACUUAACCGACUGAGCCACCCAGGCGCCCCUCUUCUUGAAUGUUUAAAAAAUUAAAAUUCCAAGGUAAUUGAAUGUAGUGAUUCAAGAUAUUCUUUGUCCUUUGUUUUGUUUUGUUUUGUUUGUGUUCAUCAGUGUAGGAUCUGAUGACAUAUGACUUACGGACUGAAAAAGAGUGAUUUCUGUAGACAUUUGUCACAUAGUGGGGAGGAUUGAGAACAAUGACAUCAUGUACUACUACCUAGCACUAACCAUUGGUACCAUCCUGGUCUAAGAGGUGGGUCCAGAUAGACUCUCUAGCAAUGAAAGUAGAUAGUCUCAAGAGGUUAUACUUUAUAAAACCAGAAUCACUAAAAUCACUAAAAUCUUUCAUACUUACCUGCAAUUGGAAAGAAGGCCAGAGAGAGUCUGUUGGUUAUGUUUCGCCAUGCUAAAUAGUACAGUGGGUAUAGACCAAACUUUGUGAUAACAUGUUUCAUCCUAAACUUAACAGUCUCUGCUGAAGAGCUGGAGAAGUUCUGUUGUGUUACAGCAAAAUAAAUAUAGUCUUGUUUAACUGCUCCUAGUAGUGGAAGUCCAGAAGAAUCAUGUUAUUUAAGUUUGACAUUGUCAGUCUAUGAUAAUGAUUCUGCUAAUGAGAGCACUUUCUGUCAGUCUCAUAGGGUUUGGUUACAAGGUAUCACAUUCUGAUAAAUACCAUUCUCUUCUUGCAUUUGGUAAAUGUAGAGGAGAAAGUAAGAUUUCUUAAUUAACUGCCUACCAAUAAUGUAAUUAAAACUCGUUCCAGUGUGGUUUCCAGGUAUGGUCUUGAAGGAAUACUUUUUUAACAAAUCAUCAGUCUUAUACUUUUAAUAUUCUUAACAAAUCAUCAGUCUUACAUUUUUAAUAUUCUGUAUUUUCCUAUUGUUGAUUUAAAAUAUAUUUUGCUUUUCUCUUUAGUGGCGGAUAAGAUUUCUGAAGAAGAGUCUUUAAGCAGUAUUUCCAUUAAACCUGGUACUGAUGAUUCAUGGCUUACAUCAGAUGCUGAAGACUUAAAUUUUGGUAUCCAGGAAGGAGAGGUGCAGCUGGCAAUUGGAAAACAGGAUGAUGGUAUUAGUAUUACUGAAAGUGCUCCACAAGAGCAGUUAACGACAGUCUGACUUCUGCUGAUAGAGCAUACAAAAGUAAUAGUAGUGGUAAGUUAGUAAACAUCUAUAAAUUUUUUCCUAUGCUCAAAUGCUAGUAUAAGAAAAUCUGAAAGUAUGUAGAUCCAGAUAUAUUACGCAUUUCAUUAACAUAUUUUUCUUUUGCUGUCUUUCUUAUUAAGUAUCCUGACUACUACCAACUUUUUCUUCCUGAAAAUAAUUCCACCUCUGAAAAUCUUUACUGCUAUGAAAUAUUCAUGAGUGGGGAUAAGCUUGUACAUAUGUUUAAAAUUCAUAAUCAUGUUUCAUUAAUGUAUC
RNAcentral lists this long non-coding RNA (1446 nucleotides) under Zalophus californianus (California sea lion). Its description in RNAcentral is "lncRNA (ENSZCAG00015013653.1)". Lineage: Eukaryota; Metazoa; Chordata; Mammalia; Carnivora; Otariidae. The record is from RNAcentral.